Molecule: long non-coding RNA, 11198 nt
Organism: Mus musculus (house mouse)
Lineage: Eukaryota; Metazoa; Chordata; Mammalia; Rodentia; Muridae
Product: predicted gene, 51543
Exons: 2
Source: RefSeq, a predicted model, not a curated record
ACAUCCAAGCUAAGCUCAAAGGUGACAGGGGAACAAAGAUGGGUAACUUUUAGAGCCAGGCACGAGGAUCUACAAAGUGUGGGACCAAAGGGGUGGGUAGGUGUAUUGGUCAGGGUUUUCUAGAAGAACGGAACUGAUAGAAUGAUCUAUGUACAUACAGAGGGGCUCAUUAGAAUGACUUACAGGCUGUGCUCCAGCUAGUUCAACCGUGGUUGUCUUUCAACAGAAAGUCCAAGAAUCCACUAACCGUUCACAGUUCACAAGUCUCCGUUGGUCUUCGGUGAAUGUUGCCAUCCCAAAGAAGUAGGUUCUAAUGCCAGUGAAGGAGUCAGCUUGCCAGAGAGAGAGGCAAGCAUGGAAAGUGCAAGUGGUUUCUUCUCCCAUGUCCUAUAUAUGGGCUGCCAUGAGAAGGUGUGGCCCAGAUUUAGGGUCUUCCUGCCUCCAAUGAUCCAAUGGGGAAAAAUCCCUCACAGGAGUGCACAGCUGUGUGGGCUUUUAGUUAGUUCAAGAUGUAGUCAAGGUGACAACGGAGGUUAGCAAUCACAAGUCCUCCCCUUGUCACCUGGACACCCACUCACAUCUCCUUAUGUCAUGCUUUAUUCCCAAAUGAAAACAGUAACCAAGCCAUAAUUACACCAAAUGUGAUUCAACUGUCCCAUGUACAACCUAAAACCCUAUGCAUUUUAGAACAGGUGGCAAUGUGGAUUGAGGAACAUAGUGUCUCAUAACUUAACUAUGAUAACCACUGACACGUUGCAUGAUGAAGAAAUCGAGGAAAGAAAACAAACAUCUGGACAAACGCAUUCCUAACAGAACAGGACAGAAACACUCAGAUCAAUUUAACCCUCAUUUCUGCAGCUGGUCAUCUGGCCUUAGCUGGUAUUUAAAAAUACCCAUACUGUAUUUCCUUAUCUUCAGCAAGCACCUGGGCAGGUCUUGGUUCUAUCCCCAGAGGAGCAAUCCAUUUCUUCAUUCCUGAAGGGCCUGUGCCUUUUGUCAUUCUGACUGUAGUGGGCUGUUGUGCUUUUCCGUUGACUUUAAUCACAGGCCCUGAUAACUUGGAGAGAUACCCCAAAUCAUCUCCUGCACUCCCCAUGUAAUUUUUCUUAUCUCCAUUCAGGAGAAUCAAUCAGAUUUUUUUUCUAGAAGUCUGGAUCAAUCACUCCCUCCUAUCACUGCUAUUCCUGUCUUAGCCUGUUGGCUUAAGGACAUCAGAAGCCCAAAGUGGCCAGGGGGGUAGUCAGAGCUUCCAGUUCAGUGAAAUGUUUGUUGUAUCCCCAGGCAGGAGCUCUGGAACCAAAAUUUAGCAGAAGUUAAGAGCUCUGGAGCAGGAAGCAAAAAUUUUCUUGGUUGGCCACUAGGGAUGAGAGUAAGUGUAGGCAUUCCUCUUUCCACCUUUGAUUAAGUCAACUGUCAUUCUCCAUGACCCCCUUCUUCUGCACAGGUCACAUAGGAAAGUUAGAGAGAGAUGCAGUGUAAACCACCACCCCUACAGCUUUUAAGUCCUUGAUGGUGGCACUAAUUUCUGUAGUUCCUCCAGGAGCGCAACACUUUUUUUUUUUUUUAAAGAUUUAUUUAUUUAUUUAUUAUAUGUAAGUACACUGCAGCUGUCCUCAGACGCACCAGAAGAGGCAUCAGAUCUCAUCACGGGUGGUUGUGAGCCACCAUGUGGUUGCUGGGAUUUGAACUUCGGACCUUCGGAAGAGCAGUCGGGUGCUCUUACCCACUGAGCCAUCUCACCAGCCCAAGCGCAACACUCUUUUUGGUUCACAUUUUCCCUGGUAAAGGUAACUCCCAAGGCUUCCGUUUAGCCUCUCUAUAAUAGCCCCAUUCCACAGGUCAGAAAACCAGUGUGGGAAUUCCUAAUCUCUAAUUAUAUCUAGUCCAAUUAUACCUUCUGGAAUCGGGGAAAUAAUCACAGGACGAGUUCAGAGAUGUGCUCAACUUACUAUGAAGCGGACUUCAGUCAAAACUCCAUCAAUCACCCGACCUCCAUAAGCUCCGGCUUUCACUGAAGGGCCAUGACGUUUCUUGGAGUCUCGUGGAAUUGGAGUUAGUUCAGAACCAGUAUCCAAUAGGCCAGGAAAGUUUCUUUUUCCGCCUUUUACAGGUUACCCAAGUAAGAGGCCAGAGGGUCUGUACGACUGGGGAAAGGCUAACAGGAAAACGUUUGGGUAUUUUAUCCCUCCUCAGGGGGAGCUGGCUGUCUGUUCAUUCAAGGGGUUCUGAGUCUGAAAACUGGUUCAAGUCUGGAAAUCAAUUUAUGGGCCAAGAUUCCCCUUUGCCACGAUCCAAUGUAGCCGUUCUUUUAUUUGUUUGAGAUUUUUUUUCCCACUUAUGCAGAUCAAGCAAAAAUACAGUAAGCUCCUUAUCUGUUUCAUGCCCGGAAACACCGUGACUGAUCAGCCAGUACCAAAGGUCCAUACAGGUCAUGCUACUAUAUUAGUCCUUUUACCUGGAAACCAUUACGGGUCAGGCCACUGUGGAUGCCACUUUGUCUGUGCUGCCCAUUCUGACAACUGUGAUCAUCUUGCCUUUGGCAAUUCAGUGCAGCCACCUGGCCUCUGGUACUCUGAAGCUAAAAUAAACCCAUCACAUCUAAUUCAUCCAACAGCAUCUCCGACCCUAAGGUCUGACACAAGGAAAAGGGCAACCACACAGCUCUUCAAAUGUGCGGGUGCCCCUCUCAUCAUUUUGAGUCUUAGAGGAUUAGUGGAGGGCAUGUCUCCUGGGCCUGUCCGUGGUGGAGGAUUAGGCUUUACAAAGAGUACUCAGUCUAGCAUUGUGGUUUCCCUGAGCCUUAAAAUCCUUUCAUCAAUGUUGUGGGGUAUUCACCAGAGAAGGCAGCUAGGACACGGGUUAAGCCAAUAGAAAGUCUGUAUUAGCCAGCCAACAACUAGACUAGGUUUUUGGGAUCCCGGUGUAGCCCUGAGCCCUUUUUCAGGGUGAGUUUUAAAUCCAAGGAAACAGUGUUCUGGUUUGAUAUAACUGUUAACAAGAAGACUUAGCCUGAAGCAGAGCUACAGAAGCCAAAAAGCAAGGUUAGCACAUCUAGGGAGUUUUCCAGAAGUGUGGACUUUGAUGGACAGGACCUUUGUUCUGGUUUGGGCGGGUGGUGCUGCCUACAUGCUGAGUUUUGUGGCCUGAAUGGUACUUUCGUCACAGCGUCGGUUGUACUAAGGUCUCAGAGUCCACUAAGUCUGGGAUCCUUUAUGAGUCUAAGCCAAAGGAUCUAAGUCAUUUCUAGCUUCUUUUCAGUAGGCCAUCCAUUUGACAAAUACUUCAGGCAACUGAUCGAACCUUUAACGCCAUGUUUAACUGAUCAAGCUUCCUAAACCUAGACUCAGUGGUCCAGAUCAAUAAACUCAGCCUGAUCCAGUUGUAAUGUAAUCCCAAAUGCUUAACAUCCUCUCCCACACACAUUCCCCACAUUUCUGCUUGAGUCAAUGAGUCAUUAAGCUCUUUAGUGGUGCAGCGCACUUCCCCAUGGGCUACACUUUCUUUCUACCUCCCCUCUAGGAGCCUGCUUUGCAUUAAGUCUGGUUUACAGGUCUCGAGGCAACUAUCAGAGGGCCCUUAGGGACAUCGGUACUACCUCGUCUGGUAUCUUCUUCAGGGAUAGCAGACAAUGAAGGAUUGAUUUCCUCAGGAGAUGGAGGUUGGGGUACAUUCUUUGCUAAGGGUGGAAAGGCUACCCAGCAAAGAGAUGCCUCCGCAGCAGGUAUAUGAACUUGCCAGUGAGUGAGGGCAAGCUGGCAAAAAGCAAAAGCUUUUUUUUUUUUCUCUCUCUCUCUUUUUCUGUGUCUUUUAUAUGGACUGCCAUGAGAAGGCAUGACCCAGAUUUAGGAUGGGUCUCCCACUCUCACAUGAUCCAAUCCAGAGCAACCCCUCACAGGUGUGGCAAACUGCUUGGGUUGUCAGGUAAUCCCAGGUGUAGACAGGUUGGCAACCAGGAAUGGCCAUGGUAAGGGGAAAGGAUGGAGCAACCAUGGCCAGUGAGCAAGGACUGGGCUCAGCAUAUUUAUGUCCAUUAAGAGACAGUGUUCAGGGCUGGAAAGAUGGCUUAGCGGUUAAGAGCACUGAUUACUCUUCCAGAGGUCCUGAGUUCAAAUCCCAGUAACUACAUGGUGACUCACAACCAUCUGUAAUGGGAUCUGAUGCCCUCUUCUGGUGUGUCUGAAGAGAACAAUGGUGUACUCAUAUACAUAAAAUAAACACAUAUUUAAAAAAAGAGAGGCAGUGUUCAGCUGGGUAUGUGGGUAUGGUAGAGCAUGGGGGUAUGGUAGAGCAUGCCUGUAUUCCUGGCACUUGGAAUCCGGAGAUAGGAAGAGCAGGAGUUCAAGGUCAUCCUCUGCUACAUAGCAAAUUCAGGGUCAAGGCCAGUCUGGGGUGCCUGCAAUACAAGACCUAUGUCCUCACCAGAAGGGUUCCAGCUUUUUAACGGCAUAAUGGCUAAUAAGUCACCCUCCAAGCUGAGCCUGUGUUUUCUUGAUGGUGUCAGAGCUAACCGGAUGGGCCGGUUAUGCUGACUCAUAAAAACCCUCCAGCCUUCCAAAUUAAAACCACAAAUGUUUAUUUGUUCUACUCCUGCAUGUUGAUUAGUUGGACUCUCUUCCACAGCCAGAAGUUCCAUGUCCCUUGGGCUCUGGGACCCAGGUACUUCCUGGAAUACUGUAGAGGCUGAGCCAGUGGUGACGUGCACGACGUCAGUAAGUCCCAGAACCCUAACUAGGGACGAUGAAGACAUGACAAAAACAUGUGAUUGAGAAGCCACAGCACCCCCAGAAACUCAAAGCCCCAGCACCUCUCAAAACUCAAUAUGUUUAGUGGAUACACAGCUGACCGGGAAGGUGGGGUUGUUGCACACAGAUAAAUGAAAAGCAGGGUUGGUGCAUACAGCUGAACAAGAAGGUGUGUGUGAUUAGCUAAUCUCAGUAGGAGCAGACUCAGCAGGGAGCAGCCCUUAGGCCAUAACCAGGGCAGUUGGUGGAGAGAAAGCUUCAGCGAGCAUAUUCUGCACUCUGUCGGCUCGCUUGGACUCAAGGAAGGCUGGGUCUCACCCGGGAUGGCUUGGCCACUCCCACAGGGCUCAGACAUGGGUCCUUGACACAAGGCUUUCCGAGCAGUGCUCAGCCACUUAGCCUCCACUCGCUCCCUACUGUGCAGAGCACUCUGGGGAGUGUCUGUCUGUCUACUCAGCUAUCUCAAACUCUGCCAAGUCUACACACUGCUUUCCAUCUCACUUACCAGAGCUGCCCCGCCAGCCCAAGAGGAGUGCCAGGUCAUGUGCCCAAGAGGCAGCAAGUCAGGGACAUUAAUAACAACCCCAGUCUCCAAGGACUUGAGAACUUAAAAGACAAAAGAAAGAAAAAAAUAAGAAAGCCCUCCCUUCCUGUCCAAGCAUCAAGCAUCUAGCUAGUCUGGUUUGAAUUACUUGUGAUUCAAUAAGUUUUGCUUUACCAAGUUCAAAACAAUAGAGAGGAGAACUAUCACCUUGAACAGAAAGUACUAGCUUAGGGCAAAUGGUGCAAAUUGCAGAUUCUUCUUUUUUUUUUUUUUUUUUGAGACUUUAUGUAUUUUUGUUUUAUGUGUAUUUGUGCUCUAUGUGCCUGCAGUACUAGAGGAGGCCAGAGGUAGCAUUAGAGUCCCUGGGAAUCUGGGCCUAGAAUUAGGGACAGUGAUGGAUGAAUGGUCAUGCGGGUGCUGGGAAUUGAACCUGGGCACUCUAGAAGAGCAGCCAGCGCUCUCUCUUAACCACUGAGCCAUCUCUCCAGCUCCAAGUUACGGAUUAUUGUUAUCUGUUUAAUAAUACUGUAAUAUCUUUUUUCUCCGUUCUUCCUUCCCUCUGCUUCCUCUCUUCUUUCUCUUCCUCUUCUUUUUUGAGACAGGUCUCCCUCUAGGUCUGGCUGGUUUUGAACUCUCAGCAAUCCUCCUGCCUCUGCCUCUCGAGAGUUGGGAUCCGACACUACAGUAUUUCUUUACUUCCCUGAAGACCAGGAAGACUAUAUUUAUUUAUGGUCACCUGGUAAUUCUAUAGUCUUGUCUGAAUACCCAAUAACAAAAUCCUGUAUUCCUAGACCCUUGGGAGGCUGAGAGGAUACUGUGCCCACCAGUUUGAGGUCAGCCUGGGCUACAUAUGAUGCCCUGCAUCCCCUUACCCCUCCCCUAAUUAGGAUGGUGGCAAUCCCAGCACUUGGGAGGAAGAAGCAGGAAGAUUAUGAGUUCGUGGCCACCCUUGGCGACAAGUUAGCUUCAAGGCUAGUCCACCCUAUGUGAGACCUUAUUUCGUCUUUGAAGAUUCCAUUUGCUGUUUAUUUAUGUGUGUUAUAUGUAUUUUUGUGUGUGAGCAUGUGUACAUGACAUGGUGCCUUUGGAAGCUGGAGGAGGGCGUCAGAACCCUGAGAACUGUUGUUACGAGCUAUUCUGAGCUGCCUGCCAUGGGUGCAGAGAGCUGAACUCAGGUCCUCCAGAAGAGCAGCAGGUGUUUUUAACCACUGAGCCAUUUCUUCAGCCGCCCCCACCCCCCCAAGAUCAAGUUUCAAAAGUGUGUGAGUGCAAUUUCAAACCAUGUGGAAAUAUGGAUCAUAGGUUCUAGUUACUAGCUAGGAACCCACCAGCCAUAAUUACUUGCCUUAAAUGUUUGGUAAGGGUUAUCUUAAGAUUUCUGAGAUAAGUUCUCAUUCCUGUUUUUUUUUUUUUUUUUUUUUGGAGGGGGGAGGGUUGAGAUAGAGUUUCUUUGUAUAGCCGUGGCUGUCCUGAAACUCACUUUGUAGACCAGGCUGGCCUUGAACUCAGAAAUCCACCUGCCUCUGCCUCCCAAGUGCUGAGAUUAAAGGCAUGUGCCACCACUGCUCGGCUUCUCAUUCCUGUUUUAUAUAGGAGAAAAACAAGGGACUGGCUCAAAGUUGCACAGCCAGAAAACCCCGUUAUAUUGUAUCCAUUUUGAGGACAAGGUGCUCAUUUUGAGCAGUACUGCUCUGCCCUCUAGGGGCAGCAGGGUGACCUGGAGGUUAAGGAAGGGCAUCUGCUCUGGAAUUCACCUGGCAGCAGAGGCACUGACUGCAAUGGGUUGAGAUUACAGAGGUCCCUCGGGAAUCCUAGCCGCUGAACUUGGCUCUGAUUCAGGAUCUGAACUCUGGAGAAAGGCUCGGUCCCGUGCCAGCUCUUUGGGAGAUGGGAACGAGACUGGAACAAGUCACAGGUCUUCAGAUCCGGGGAUGAGCCAGGUGCUCUACCACUGAGCUGUGCCCCCGAGCCUGAGUUCACAUAUCCUUGGCAAACUUUACUGUUAUGGUAAAGCUCACUGCCGGAAGAGCUUGGCACACAGCCUGCCACGUGGAAAUUAUGAAGAAGGAGUGUCUAUUAUCAGCACAGUUGCAUGGAGUUUCAGAAUAACUGCCAUUUCAGACUUGGAAUUGGGGAUGGGAAUUGCCUUCGCUAAGUCAAACUGGCUGAACUGAAAGAGAAAACUGUGAGGGCGUGGAGCUUUGAGGUCCCUGGGGAGCCUUGAACCGGGAUCCAGUUUUCUCGACUCCCUUCCUCUUCCUGAACCUGUUCAAGAUGUCACCACACCUGCAACCAUUCCAGCCAGGGAAAAGCCUGGGGCAACAAACUGGGGAAUUAGGUCAGGAGGAUGCAGGUCUGCCUGAAGAACUCUCCUCAAAGAGGGAGAUCUGACUGCAGCUAUCAUGGACUUCGGGUCUCUGCUCCUGAUGAAAAUGGGCAGGAAACGAUGGAGCGAGGGAGGCCCCAGAAGAAAGGGAAGUGAGAUCAUGGUCUGCCUUUCCUUGACGUGUUUUUGAUAGACACAGGGGCUCCAAAAUAAUGUCCUUACUAAGAGGGUGGUGACAAUAAAUGGCACCUGAUGGAUCCCAGUGAGCCCAGAGAGCAGGAGAUGGCUGGGCUGCAUAGGACAGCUGGUGCACAGGCUGUAACCCCCAUGCCCAACCCCCACCUGUCACCUGGAAAGAGCACAGGCCUGUGGGGUCCCCUGAGUCACUGAGAGAAUUUAGGAAAUGAGUGUACCUGGCCGACUUCCUGAUUUUUAAAUGCUGUCUCUAAUUUUAUUUUCAACGAUUUACUUAUUUUUAUUUCACAAGUAUGAGUGGGUGUCUGCCCGUGUGAUGGUGCCUGGAGUGUCAGGGGAGGGGGAGAGUAUCAGAUCUCCUGUGAGUCGCUUGAUGUGGGUGCUGGAAGCCAAACCUGUGUCUUCUACAAGAGCAGAAGGUGCUCUUAACUCUUUCCAGCCAUCUCUCCAGCCCCUCGCUGCCUCCAAUGUUUUUUUUUUUAAUUUAUUUAUUUUAUGUAUGUGAGUACACUGUAGCUGUACAGAUGGUUGUGAGCCUUUAUGUGGUGUAGGACCUCUGCUCCCUCUGGUCAACCCCAUUCGCUCCGGUCAGCCCUGCUCGCUCCGGUCAACUCUGCUCGCUCAACCCUUGAUUGCUCUGGCCCAAAGAUUUAUUUAUUAUUAUACAUAAGUACAUGUAGCUGACUUCAGACACACCAGAAGGGGGCAUCAGAUCUCAUUACAGGUGGUUGGGAGCCUCCAUGUGGUUGUUGGGAUUUGAACUCAGAACCUUCGGAAGAACAGUCAGUGCUCUUAACUGCUGAGCCAUCUUGCCAUGCUGCCUCCAAUUUUAAAACUACAAUGUAGACACUGAGUCUAAGAUGUUAUUGAUAGAAAGAUGUUCUGACAUUUAAUAACUGUAGAAUAUGUGCCAUUUUGCAUUUUACUAAUAAAAUCUAGCUACUCAAGCGGUUGAAGGCAGGAGGACUAUAAGAUCUGCUUAGGCCAGUCUGAGCAACUCAGACAAUGUGUCAAAACAAAACAUGAAGAAGAGAGCAGAGGGUGCAGAGGUCAGGAGUACAGCGCUUUGCCUUGCACGCCUGAGUCCUGGGGUUUUAGCCCUAUUCAGAAGGAAAACCACAUAAACUAACAAACAAACAAAAACCCAGCAGAAUCACGGAUAGCAAAGUAAAUCCCAACUCUAACACAUCACAGUGAGGGGGAAAAAAAUGUCCGUUUUAGAAUUCAUGAAAGAUUGUAUACCAUAGGCUGGACCUGACCUGAGAUAACCCUGUGCUGUUUUCAACCUGCACAACUGUACGCUGGGACUCUAAUGUUGUAUAUUGAAAAGCGGAAGGGCCGCUGAACGGCUCACACUUGGGUCCUAUCUAGGAGCUUCCUGGUUUCUUGAGAAGAGCUAGUUAGUCCCUCUUCGUCUUUAUACGAGUCAGGAAUGAGUAGAGACAGUGUAGAGGAACAUGUGGACAUCAUAUAUAAGUGACAGUAACAUCAGGGUGGUGGCUCCUGGACACUGAGUAGGACCCACAGGGAUCCUGAGUCUUGGCAGACCAAGAGAUCAGUCACACCCACGUGCAUAGAGGCCCAGGGAGGUGAAAGGUACCGGGUCACCAUUACACACACAGAGGCAACACUGGGCCAGGCCAGGGUCCAGUUCUCCUCAUUCCCAUCUGCCUUCUGGGAAAAUCCCUACCCCUGGUGCAAAUGAGUUAGAGACCCAGGUCUUAGAACUUGUCCCCUCUCCUCUCCCAUUCCCCAUGCUCCCACCCCACCUCCACCCCGGCCGAGGCCUACCCCAGAGAAAAGUUCCCUGAUUUAAUUCACAAGACUUUAAAAUUUUAUUAGUAAAAUACAAAAUGGCACAGACAUUGGUAAUGAUGCUUGAAAAAAAACCCUAAAGGAUCAACAACUUUCAAAGUCCUCCUCAGAUUGUUACGGCCCACAUUCUGCUCUGGGAGGGAGGAACCAACAAAGUCCGAUGACGGGUGUCCCAACCCUUAAAGGUUCCCCACCGAAGGAGCCAGGAUAUAGUGCACUCGGGCUGCUGCGGCUCAGGCCUACAACUGGUUCUGUGGAGCAUGAUCAGAGCCGCCCACAGGCUUCCCAGGAGGAGGGUCGACAAAGGGUUGGCUUCCUCACUCUCAGGAGCCAACUGAGCUUCCACCAAUCAAGGAGUGAGUCACUGGCUUCUGGGUGAAGCUCGCCCCUGGGAGGCUCCUAAGGUGAAGUUGGAGCUAUUCAGAGCAGGGUGGGUAGAAAUGCCCCCCCCCCCCGAGGGGCGUGGCCUGCCGGCUCAGCUCCGCUGGGGUGCUGCUCAGCUGCUCCUUGCUUCAGCAGUCACUUUGCGCCCAGGGCAGAGUCCCUUCCAGAAAAUGUCACAGGGCUCUUGGAGAAUGCUAUGGGAGUUCUGGCCCUGCCUGCAAUGGGGGCAAAGGUGAGUCCUUGGCGUGAACACUGCUCUCAGAGACAGGAAAGGACCCUGGCAGCCUCUGUCUGACUAUGCAAGUACACACAUGCACAAGUCCCUACACUGAAAUUGGGUUUGUGGCCACUCCAGGGGUUUACCCUGGAUCCUCUGCCUCCGAGGGGCUUGUCCUAAUCUUUCCUAUGUGGCUUGUCCUUUAGCCAGGGCAGACCUGUGACUGUCACCUUGGUGCAUGGGGGAGGGGUUUCUAGUGAGAACACAGGGGAAGCCAUCUGAGUUGGCCUCUGUUCCUGCAAGUCCCCAACUCAGCCUCCAUUUGGGGGGGGGGCAUACAGGGUACGAUCUGCACUCUCAAGCCACUCCUUGCCAGCCCUCAGAAUCACAGGGUACAAAAAUGUCAGUCCAGUGGAAUGGCAGUGACUAUUAAUGUUGAUAAGGGGUGGGGUUGCACCCAGGGGUGGAGACAAGGAUCUCAGAGAAAGUGAUGAUGUCAGGGCCAUAGGUUAUUGCCAGCUCUGGACCACGUUUCUUUCCUUUUACAGGUGGGGCACUUUGUGGUGCUGGUAGCCGAGUGGGGACUGGACCCUUCCUUCAGACGCAGCAUGCCUUCACAGCACAUCCAAGUCUGGGGAGGAACACUUUAAACCCUCUCGCAAGCUUGUCUCCCUUCCCGGAGAGCUCCAGAAAACACAGCUUUAACCUCAUGCAAGAAAAGACACAACAGCGGUGUUGAUGGUGAUGGUGGUGCGCUCUGUACAGGGGAUAGAGGGAGACAUAGGGCAGAUAGCACCGCAGCUGGCCGGGGAGGAGAAGGGCUGGCGACUGCAGCAAAGCCAGGAGACACAAGGAGGUCAGGGGGACAGGCAGAUAGGCCUGGCCUGCUGCUUGUGAUAUGGGCGGACCACGGUGCGCGCGGGAAACAGGUGUCGUCGCAGGGGCUGGGAAUCCAAUAAAUAAUUGUUCACUGGA